GUGGGGAAUUUUGGACAAUGGGCGCAAGCCUGAUCCAGCAAUGCCGCGUGUGUGAAGAAGGCCUUCGGGUUGUAAAGCACUUUUGUCCGGAAAGAAAUGGCCUGGGUUAAUACCCCGGGUCGAUGACGGUACCGGAAGAAUAAGCACCGGCUAACUACGUGCCAGCAGCCGCGGUAAUACGUAGGGUGCGAGCGUUAAUCGGAAUUACUGGGCGUAAAGCGUGCGCAGGCGGCGAUGCAAGACAGAUGUGAAAUCCCCGGGCUCAACCUGGGAACGGCAUUUGUGACUGCAUUGCUAGAGUGCGUCAGAGGGGGGUGGAAUUCCGCGUGUAGCAGUGAAAUGCGUAGAGAUGCGGAGGAACACCGAUGGCGAAGGCAGCCCCCUGGGAUGACACUGACGCUCAUGCACGAAAGCGUGGGGAGCAAACAGGAUUAGAUACCCCAGUAGUCC
This 450-nucleotide ribosomal RNA is filed under the name uncultured bacterium. RNAcentral's name for it is "partial 16S ribosomal RNA". It matches the Rfam family "Bacterial small subunit ribosomal RNA", at positions 354 to 796 of the family's 1533-position model. The record is from RNAcentral.